This is a long non-coding RNA of Trifolium pratense (red clover), 590 nucleotides long. RefSeq lists it as uncharacterized. The record is from RefSeq and is a predicted model, not a curated record. The transcript has 2 exons. NCBI's taxonomy places the organism in Eukaryota, Viridiplantae, Streptophyta, Magnoliopsida, Fabales, Fabaceae.
UCAAGUCAAUGAUGAUGUGCAUGCAAUGCACACCACUAGAUAAGAUAAGAUAUGAAAGUUGUAUUCUCACAACUAGUGUUAUAAUUAUAAAUAUGUUUGCAAAGUGAAGAGAAUGAAUAAGGUUGAGAAAAUGGUGACAAAAACAGCUUUGCGCAUUGCUUUCUCAUGGCUCUUACUGAUGGUAUUCACAGUUGUUUCUGCUAAUGCAGAAAACAUAAGUGCUCAUACCCCAACUUCAAAGAAUAUGGUUUAUUAUCCUCAAGGUUGUCGCUGCUGCACGUUCAUAUGGAAGCCAAUGAUCAGAUGUGGCAAAGUAUGUUGUGAAGAGGGAUGUUGUUAACUUAAACAUCACAGGGUUGAAACAGACCAUCUAAAAGUUCUAUAUAUGUUUCUCUUCACACAGAAACAUAAAUACUAAGUUGUUUAAUAAUUAUGCAGGAAGUCGGAUAAAUAGGUUUUCUGCAUAAAAGUUUGUAGUGUUGUUGACAACUUAAUAUAAUGUCCAUUCCCAAGAGAUUUCAUUUAAAAACAACUUGCAGAUUCACCCAUUUAAAGAGUUUUCAAAGAGCACUCAUCGCUCUUUUGUAGAA